CUGCACACAAGCAUCGCAGUGAGGUUCCACUUUGCACCCACACGCGCACCAGUAGCCAUACACCAGCUCACUCAGCCAACCACACUCGAGGAUCGUGUUUCUGCCGCUGCGCACCGGCAGAGCGACGCACACGAGCCAGAAGAAGCUCAGCAGCACCCGGCCUCUUUCUUUCCUUGCAUCUUUCUCCUCUGCCGCUGUGCUUCCCCCUGCGCAUCGGUGAACACCGUCACGGCUCUCCCUGCUCUCUUUCUCUCAUUGCUCAACUUAGAAGUCCGCCGCCUUUCGUCCUCCAUCUCUGCGAAACGCGUUUCUCUUGCCUCGUUGCUCUUUUUUUUCUCUGCUGUCACUGUCCAUCGCAUCACGGGACCCCUCCCCUCCCCCUCCCCCCUCCCCCUCCCCCCACACACACUUGAUUGGUUUUCCUUUCUGAAGUCUGGCAGCGUUGUCACUCCCCCCUCCCCCUCCCCUCUCCCUCCAUCUGUUGUGUGUGUGUGUGUGUGUGUGUGUGGACAGCGAAUCCACACGCGGCCCCUGCUGCUGCUGCUUAGACUGGCGAGCUCUUGCCUGCUUUGGCAGUGUACCCCAAAAAAAAGCUACUCUCGAACACAGCUUUCAUUUAGAGGCUCAAUUCGCGCGAUCCUUCUCGGGCCUUGACUCUGCUGUUCGGCCUCCUGCCCCGGUUUCUUCGGUCUGUUGGCUUCUGUUGCCUCCUGCGCCGUGUGCGGCGUGUGAAUUUUGCCUGAGAAGGUUGUGCGUCGCUCCGCAUUGUGCUGACUGCAUAUCCACGACUCCCACCCGCACCCCGCCUCAACCACAUCACACACGCGCACAUGUCAACCAUGCAGACAUGCAUCUCUCGCCAUCACACGUCGAAGCUCACACUGGUAGGCACGUAUGUGGGCUCGAAGGUGGCCAAGGCCGUGUUGAUGUCCGCCGCGGCCGGGAAGCUGACGCCGGAGAUCGUAGGCGAGGCGCUUAUGUCUUCGUCGACGAUUCGCGGACACGUGCAGCGAGAGGCGGUGCGGCUACUCGUCGUCCGCAUCUCCAUGCGCGCGCCGCAGCAGCUGCAAUGGCUUCUAAACCUCAUCGGCGACUGCGCCGGAAGCCUCUCUGCCACCGAUGCGUUGAGCUCUCUGGCGAAGCGGUCCCUCUUCUAUCAAGUAACCUCGUUUGGUCUCCACGGCUCGGCCGCCUCGGCAAUAACAACGGCCGCGCUACAGAUCGGAAUGACCACCUGCACCCUUCUCACCAGCAACGCCGCCUUAUGGCGUGACCAGGACAGCCGCAUGUCGCUUCGGCAAUACCGCUACGAGCUGCUCACUUCUCUGUACACAAGCGUCGGCACCGUUGCCGGCGGCGCAGCAGGAGCGGCGGUGGGAUCAAUGGUGAUGCCAGGUAUUGGGACUGCGUUUGGAUCUGUGCUCUGCUCCGUUGGCGGAGGCUACGUUCCAGGUUAUCUGCGAGACAAGAAGGGCCCGGACGACCGUCGCCGCCAGCAGGCGACGGCGCUUCGCCGCUUCACCCCACUGCGGAUGCACGAUACGCAGGACGGCGCCGUGUUCAUGUCCAUGGAGGAGCUCGCCGAGGCGUCGCCCAUCGCUCCGGCAUCUGCAGCCGCACAGGUGAGCGAAGCGCUAAAGGCGAUGCAAGAGCUGCAGGAUACCGGUGAUACCAGUGCGAGAGAUGGUGGCGCGGCGAAGGCCACGGAGGUGGAUUCUGAAAAUGGUGACGCAGAGGUGGGCGACGAACCGGUAUGGCUAGACUUUGUCCGCUCCGAGACGCCUGGUACUAUAUCGCUGACGGAGUCGUCCGCGGACACUAAGGCGAGCAUCGAUGGCGAGGACGGCAGCCAAGCGCCGCUCAUGCGCAGCUGCCUGCGGUUCAGCCCGUCGCUGGCGGUGCUUUCGAAGAAGGGAAGCAUUCACGGUGAUUGUAGCAGUGGGGCGCAGUCAAGCGGAACCUCCUUCCAGGAAGCAGAUCCCGUCAGUGCUGACGCUGCGAUGAUCACCUCUCUCUCCUCCGCUCCCUCGUCGUUCUGCGACGCAGUCGAUGCAGAGACCGCGACGACGGCAGCAGAGCGCUUUGAGGGCCGCGCGAAGUACGUGACGGCGUCAACGGCAGAGGAGCUCCAACGGGAGCUGGAGAAGUGUGGCGGGGACAGCGAUGUACUGUUUUUGUUUGCGUAACGUGCGCAUGCGCGGGCGAGACCGAUGCGGCGCGCUAAAGCAACGGGCGCCUCCUUGUGCGUACAUGGCGGACAGCCAUGCCUUGGUAGAUGUAUGUUGCAUGCUUAUGUGUCGUUGAUGAGUGCGACGCAGACACGCAAGGCUUGCGACCUUGCAUAUACGUCUCUCGUUUUCUCCUGUGAGGUUUCGCGCCUUGAUUCUGUACCCGAAACGGGCAGGGAGGGAACGAGCGCACACUGCUGGGCGGUGCUGCAUCCAGCUGCUUCUUUGGCGCCCACUGGUUCAUGUAUCUGCGCAUGUCUGUGUAUUUGCGUGCGUUUCUUCUCGGUUCUCAUCACGUUUCGCGACACCAGUGCUGUGAUAUCAGGACACAUGCGUUUGUGCCUGUGCACGGUGUGGUUUACUUUCUGCUCUCUCUCAUGUGCGUGACCUCUUUUUGCCUUUGAUUUUUGUUCCAACCCGCCGCUGUCUCCGCCUGCCUGUAUGUCUGCGAGUGCUCAGUGUACCUGCUAGCCGCUGGCGUUGCCCACCGCUGUACGCGCGUCUGUGUGUGCGUGUGUGUGUGUGGUGGGGUAAUUCCGCGUCCACGUCCGCUUUCGUUUGGGCUCUCUUUCUCUCUCUCUGCCUCUCUCUCUCUCUCGGCUUUUUUUUUGUGUUGUCUCCCGCCACCAGUGCUCUCUUUUUUAUUUUCAAAGAGCAGGGAGGCAAGGAAGGAGCCGCAGAGGAGGCGCAUGCGCACCCGUCCACACUGCGGCUCACCUGCGUGUCCUACUCGGAUACAAGCCUACGGACACAUGCGCACGAGAGCGAAGCGAAAAACGGUGCUUGCGUGUCUGUGCGUUUGCCUUUCUGUAUCCUUUCUUUCGCUGCAUGCGCGCGUGUGUGCUCGCCCCUUCCGUCUUUGCGUGCCGAGGCUAUCUCGUGCUCCUUCUUGCUUACCGACACGGCGGUUGCUGUUGCCAUGUUUCUCUUUGUUGUUGUGUCAUCGUUUGCCGUGCGUGCGUGUCUGUGCUCUCCUCCUUUUCCUUCCUCAUCUCACGUGUUUGGUCUGUAGACUCGCUCCAAGCUGAUUUCUGCCACCGCGAUCAUCACCUUCGUCUUCCUUCAUUAUUCUUCCUGUUCCUGCUGUUCCUGCUUCGUGUCCAGUGCUCUUUCUUCACCAACUGCGUGCUCAUACACAGUUUUACUGCCAGGGGGAGAGGGGAUCUGCCAUGGACUGCUGCACGUACUCAUGCCUGCGUGAACGUGUUCGUUUUCGGCGGUUACGUCCGACACGUGACCAAGGGCAGGAGGAGAGGGCCAGAGUGUCGCAGACCGACACACGCACGCACACACACACGCACACGCACGCGCCAAUGUCAUCGCAGCAUCACAUACAAAAGGAAGAUGAGAAACUCGACGCGUCGACCAUGCCUUCCUCGGACCCCCUCCUCUCUUCGCCGAGCGUCGGGCGUUGAGUGGGGAUCGGGGACGGAGAAAGAUGGAGAAGGCGGAGAUGAGAGAGAGAGAGCUCAAGCAGCACUUUCACACGAGCCAUCUUUUACGCGUGCACCCUCCUUCUCUUCCUCUUUCCUCGGCCACCUCUGCCCGUGUGUGUUAAUCCACCGCUUCCUUUACUGGCACUGGUGGUACCCUCCAUUCUUAGCCAGAGAGAGUGCGUGCGUGUGUGUGUGUGUGUCUGUGUGUCGAAGUCCGUGUGAAG
Molecule: unclassified non-coding RNA, 3888 nt
Filed under: Leishmania donovani
Lineage: Eukaryota; Euglenozoa; Kinetoplastea; Trypanosomatida; Trypanosomatidae
Description: gene:LdHU3.29.0680(CDS-product:hypothetical_prote in_conserved)
Source: RNAcentral